Molecule: ribosomal RNA, 253 nt
Filed under: uncultured bacterium
Lineage: Bacteria
Description: partial 16S ribosomal RNA
Rfam family: Bacterial small subunit ribosomal RNA
Source: RNAcentral
UACGUAGGGUGCAAGCGUUAAUCGGAAUUACUGGGCGUAAAGCGUGCGCAGGCGGCUUUGCAAGACAGAUGUGAAAUCCCCGGGCUCAACCUGGGAACUGCAUUUGAGACUGUAUGGCUAGAGUGUGUCAGAGGGGGGUAGAAUUCCACGUGUAGCAGUGAAAUGCGUAGAUAUGUGGAGGAAUACCGAUGGCGAAGGCAGCCCCCUGGGAUAACACUGACGCUCAUGCACGAAAGCGUGGGGAGCAAACAGG